Molecule: unclassified non-coding RNA, 397 nt
Filed under: Hevea brasiliensis (rubber tree)
Lineage: Eukaryota; Viridiplantae; Streptophyta; Magnoliopsida; Malpighiales; Euphorbiaceae
Source: RNAcentral
AUGUCUGUAUAACAAUUGGGCAGUUGAGGCUAAGAGUUGUUUUAUUUAAAUAAGCUAGUGGUUCCUCUUUUUUACCGUUCAAUUAAAGUCUAGGAACGGGAGUCAAGACUACAGUUUUGGCACACCUGACAGCAAAAGUCGCUGAAAUUGGGACAUGUCACUUUCUUGUUAGCAAUAGCUCAUCAGAGUCAUCACAACCUAUUGAUUAUUGUAAAAGAUAUUAUUUUUCCAUUAUUUUUUUCAUGACUUUAUAUUUCUUGAAUGGUCAGUCAUUGACUAUAGCUAUGGCUUUUAUUUCUUGUUGGCACUGAUAAUUAUAAUGCUUUUCACGCUCCUGAAACAAAGGGAUUUUUUUAACUCAUUUUAUUUUUUAAUGGGUCCCAAAAAUAGAUGGUAU